GUGGCUGAAAUGGGAUCUGCUCGUGAUUC
Molecule: non-coding RNA, 29 nt
Filed under: Homo sapiens (human)
Lineage: Eukaryota; Metazoa; Chordata; Mammalia; Primates; Hominidae
Source: RNAcentral